Streptomyces sp. H-KF8 is the source of this 302-nucleotide small RNA. It matches the Rfam family "5' ureB small RNA". The record is from Rfam. NCBI's taxonomy places the organism in Bacteria, Bacillati, Actinomycetota, Actinomycetes, Kitasatosporales, Streptomycetaceae.
CGUGCUUGCACUGCUCGGGGGAGAUGAGGUGGACGUGCGCGUCCAUGGCCCCGGCGGUCGCGAUCAGGUGCUCGCCGGCGAUGACCUCGGUGCCGGUGCCGACGACGAGCCUGGGGUCGACGGAGUCCUGGGUCUGCGGGUUGCCGGCCUUGCCGAUGCCCGCGAUGAAGCCGUCCUUGACGCCGAUGUCGCACUUGACCACGCCGACCACCGGGUCCAUGACCACGACGUUGGUGAUCACGAGGUCGAGGGCGCCCUGGGCGGCGGUGGCCUGCGGGUCGGAGGCCAUGCCGUCACGCAUG